This 277-nucleotide ribosomal RNA is filed under the name uncultured prokaryote. RNAcentral describes it as "partial 16S ribosomal RNA". It matches the Rfam family "Bacterial small subunit ribosomal RNA", at positions 524 to 800 of the family's 1533-position model. The record is from RNAcentral.
UACGGAGGAUCCGAGCGUUAUCCGGAUUUAUUGGGUUUAAAGGGUGCGCAGGCGGGAGAUUAAGUCGGCGGUGAAAUUUUGCAGCCCAACUGUAAAAGUGCCUUCGAAACUGGUUUCCUUGAGUGUAGAUGAAGUAGGCGGAAUUUGUGGUGUAGCGGUGAAAUGCAUAGAUAUCACGAGGAACUCCGAUUGCGCAGGCAGCUUACUAAACUACUACUGACGCUCAGGCACGAAGGCGUGGGGAUCAAACAGGAUUAGAUACCCGGGUAGUCCCUGA